CCUACGGGGGGCAGCAGUGGGGAAUAUUGCACAAUGGGGGAAACCCUGAUGCAGCGACGCCGCGUGAGUGAAGAAGUAAUUCGUUAUGUAAAGCUCUAUCAGCAGGGAAGAAAAUGACGGUACCUGAGUAAGAAGCCCCGGCUAACUACGUGCCAGCAGCCGCGGUAAGACGUCGGGGGCAAGCGUUAUCCGGAUUUACUGGGGGUAAAGGGAGCGUAGACGGCAUGGCAAGUCUGGAGUGAAAGGCGGGGGCUCAACCCCCGGAGUGCUUUGGAAACUGUACGGCUGGAGUGCAGGAGAGGUAAGUGGAAUGCCUAGUGUAGCGGUGAAAUGCGUAGAUAUUAGGAGGAACACCAGUGGCGAAGGCGGCUUACUGGACUGUAACUGACGUUGAGGCUCGAAAGCGUGGGGAGCAAACAGGAUUAGAUACCCUAGUAGUC
RNAcentral lists this ribosomal RNA (440 nucleotides) under uncultured bacterium. Its description in RNAcentral is "partial 16S ribosomal RNA". It matches the Rfam family "Bacterial small subunit ribosomal RNA", at positions 338 to 795 of the family's 1533-position model. The record is from RNAcentral.